Molecule: unclassified non-coding RNA, 232 nt
Filed under: uncultured fungus
Lineage: Eukaryota; Fungi
Description: sequence contains ITS1
Source: RNAcentral
GUAUUGUAUUGCGUUAAACGCGACAUGCAUUCCAUAAAACUUUGUCACUGUGUGUGUGUAAAGACAUAGAACCACAGUGGGAGAACAGAGUCCCCCACACCACGGAACUACAGAGGGUGCACAGGUGUGAGUGGGUGUGUAAACAGAGCGUGCACAUGCCCCCAUUUGAGGGCCAGCAACAACUCGUGUCGACAGUUCAGUAAUGAUCCUUCCGCAGGUUCACCUACGGAAA